GGAUCGGACUCCUCUGCAUUCCGCCUCGGCGCUGGGGCUGCUCCUUCGCAGGAUGAGUCCCAGCUCGCAGAACAGCCUCCCUUCGGAGACAGGUGGGAAGGAAGGCUUUCUCCUUGGCAUACAUGUGCAGGGCCUCCCUGGGGCUUCAUGUUGCCCUCAUCUUGGGAUCCAACCUCCUGUUCGGCCAGGAGCAAGCUCAAGAGUGGUGGGCGACUGUAGUGGUGGACAUAUUGCAUCAACUUGGGAAGUUAAAGGCUAGGCUGGAGGGCUCAGGGGUUUCAUGCCCUAGUGCGUGGAAGCCCCGCCUUAGGGGCCUGCCCCAGAGUGACUCAGCAUAAAAAGGAUAUAAAGGGAGUUGAGGAGGGAUUCCAUGCGCCACUUCCUUGGAGGAG
Molecule: long non-coding RNA, 392 nt
Organism: Octodon degus (degu)
Lineage: Eukaryota; Metazoa; Chordata; Mammalia; Rodentia; Octodontidae
Exons: 3
Source: RefSeq, a predicted model, not a curated record